CGUUACUCUACCCGGUCCCUCAUCCCCGUAAAACCCUCUCUCACUCACUCUGUUCCACACCACUCUAAAACAAAGCUUCCAACUCUUUCAGCUCAGAAAAACCAAAAACCUCCACACAGCUCAGCCAUGGCGGUGUUGGGAUUCCUCAUUUUCUUCCUCACGCUCUUAUCGACCUCCUUCCCCACCGAAUCCAGACUCUACACUAACUUCUACGACAAGUCGUGCCCGAGAUUCACCCAGAUUGUCCAGGACAUUGUCACCAACAAGCAGAUCUCCACCCCACCACGGCCGCCGGAACCCUCCGCCUCUUCUUCCACGACUGCAUCCACAACGGCUGCGACGCCUCCAUCCUGGUCUCCUCCACCCCCUUCAACAAGGCCGAGCGCGACGCCGACAUCAACCUCUCCCUCCCCGGCGACGCCUUCGACGUCGUCGUCCGCGCCAAGACCGCCCUCGAGCUCGCCUGCCCCAACACCGUCUCCUGCGCCGACAUCCUCGCCGUCGCCACCCGCGACCUCGUC
Molecule: long non-coding RNA, 521 nt
Filed under: Rosa chinensis
Lineage: Eukaryota; Viridiplantae; Streptophyta; Magnoliopsida; Rosales; Rosaceae
Description: sRNA RchiOBHm_Chr2g0170401
Source: RNAcentral